RNAcentral lists this ribosomal RNA (403 nucleotides) under uncultured bacterium. RNAcentral's name for it is "partial 16S ribosomal RNA". It matches the Rfam family "Bacterial small subunit ribosomal RNA", at positions 29 to 526 of the family's 1533-position model. The record is from RNAcentral.
AUUGAACGCUGGCGGCAGGCCUAACACAUGCAAGUCGAGCGAGCGGCGGACGGGUUAGUAAUGUAUGGGGACUGCCCGAUAGAGGGGGAUAACUACUGGAAACGGUAGCUAAUACCGCAUACUAUCGGAUAACCCAUAUGGGAGUAGCUAGUAGGUGGGGUAAAGGCUAACCUAGGCGACGAGCUCUAGCUGGUCUGAGAGGAUGAUCAGCCACACUGGAACGGGGCAACGGCCCAGACUCGUACGGAGGCAGCAGUGGGGAAGAUUGCACAAUGUGCGAAAGCCGGAUGCAGCCAUGCCGCGGGUAUGAAGAAGGCCUUAGGGUUGUAAAGUACUUUCAGCGGGGAGGCGUUACCCGCAGAAGAAGCACCGGCUAACUCCGUGCCAGCAGCCGCGGUAAUAC